UCAAUUUCAGUUGUAUACAAAACUUCCUUCGAUCGUCUUCUAUACUCUGGGAGUGCUUAGGAUUUCCUUAGCGAUCGGAAGAAUCUUAAGGAGUCGAAAUAGGAGAGAGCUUUUAGCGAGUGUUCGUUCCUUUUUACGAAUUAUCCGCUUCAAAUAACGAAACUGGAACCCAUUGCUUAUAGAGUGCGUUGUUCCUUGUCAAUCGCCUACCGGUCGUGGGUUGGUACCAGAUAUUAGGUUUCUAGUAUCCGCUCUCUAGUCUCUGUGAAGACAGACUGACCUGUUCGUAUUGCAAUGAAUUCACUGGUCAGGGGCGGUUCUUCGAAUGAAGCUUGGUGAGGAGUAGGUAAUCGAAAUUUACGUACGCUUCCGUCAUUGAACCUAACAAUGGUUUGAUAGUCUUUUUCAAAUAAUGGCGCCAGCAAUCGACCCUACAACCUUGUGUCGAGAAGGGUUCGUCCCCAUGGACAAAAAUCAAAGAGGUAAAUGAUUAGUACUGAGAAAGCGACGGUGGAACAGAUUUAGAUGCGGAUGUAUGCACGGAUGAUGAUCACGGCACGAUACCCGCCGGUGUAACUUUUCAAUGAGAACACAAUCGAUUUAGUGAACCCGUGUUCAAUUUCUGCCGGUCAACACGCUUUUCGGUACCCGUACCUCUAGUAACAACUGUUCGUAGAGACGCUUCAUUGGCCGUACCUCGUAUUUUGGGCAAAUACGGAACGAGGUUUUUUCAUUUCGAUUUAUACAUCCGAGUCAAAGUCUGCAAACGUACAGGGUUUUUGUCAAGCCAUUGGUCCGCUGUGACCAAAAGGCCGUGUUCGACAAUACCUGCAAGGUCGCAACGGAAGCUUCUCGUAUAUAGGAAUCGACAAAUCGGGCCGUUACGGCCAACGGUACGCGGAGGAUGCGGGGCAAAGGCAGGCGCAAAGGGGUUCAGGAAGACUGCUGGAGUUUUCCAUCCUCGCGUUCAUCUUUAUUGUCGCUAUAAGGAAACAUCUGUACUCGAUAAGCGAUUUGUCAAUAUAUCCUAAGGAAAAAGACACGUGGGCCAUAGCGGAAAGUUGGUACGUUGGGCUGCGCAAAUCAUAGCUCGGCCGAACGGCAACGGGUCGUAAAAAGCUUUAGAGGGCACGAGCGAUAUCGACGAUCCAAGGAGUUGCGCAAGCGAAAAGCAUGGUAGAGGUGCUUUUACACAGAUGGGAAACGCGUUAUAAGCAAUUUAACAUGAAUGAGUAACAAUAUAAUAUCAGCUAUGGAUGGGAAUAAUAUUGUUUCAUUAGAUAUCUUUCUUUCACACAAAUCUGAUUUGUUUAUUGAGUGGCUUCCAAUAUGUGUGUGAAUGAUGGCUGUUCUUGUUUACUAAUUCUCAUGUAGACUUUUUUGUUUGCUGGCAGUGAAAUAUUGUAUCCAUUUGAUUACCAGCAAACGAACUCCUUUAUCGGUCUCCAGAUACGAAUAUGGCAAUCGACAAUAGUACCCACCAUAGCUGAGGGUACUACCCAAUAGCACCUCUCUCGGAGUGCCUUCGGCAUUUUUAAUAUGAAAAAUAAAUCUCCCUCGACUCCCUGAGCUUGUCGACAACAAAUCCGAGCAACUAUCCGAGUAGAUUAUCGUGUAAUAAAGCUUACUUAGGAAUUUCGUAUAUUCGUACGUAUUAUCCUAGACCAUUUUCGCAGCUCUUUGACAACCUGAUGAAUACAUACGUCCUUAUAAAUGGUUUCCGCGCAAAAAAGCCUAUUUCCCCUCUAGUUAAAAUUGAAGAAGUCGACUUCUUUGUGUGUGGACAGGACUACACUGUAACUAUCAGUGGACUCUUCGGGGCUAACUCUGGUUGCAUUUAGUUACGUUUUUUUUGCACGAAAAAGCCUGUUCUUUUAUGUAAAAAACUUUUUAGCUAGUAAAUUUCUGGAGUGCAUUGGUCGAGGCAAUCGACGACAAUCGACUCAGCCAUGGCGAUUCUAUGCAUACUGAAUAAAUCAAUCCUUUAGGACGAUUACAUCGUUCUGAGCAAAUUAGGAAGAGUAGCGAUUUCACCUCCAUCGGUAGCUGAUAUAGACGUUUUCUGGAAUAGGAAUCAAACUGUCUGCCAUAGUUGUCCUGUCAGUACCGACUCUGGAAUAGCAAUCCAACCAGCGACGUACAAACUAGAAGUCUAUCUAUCGGUACAACUUCUUCGUUGGACGAUUCUGCGUGACUAUUGGCUCAACACAUAGGGCUUUCACAUUAAUCAAGAGGAAGACGACUUUCUAACGUAAACGUAGAACCUUUUAGUUGAAGUUCAACUUUUGUACGUAGUAGUAAAAAGUAUUUUUGUAGUAA
Long non-coding RNA from Varroa destructor (honeybee mite), 2319 nucleotides. RefSeq lists it as uncharacterized. NCBI's taxonomy places the organism in Eukaryota, Metazoa, Arthropoda, Arachnida, Mesostigmata, Varroidae. The record is from RefSeq and is a predicted model, not a curated record.